This 565-nucleotide small RNA is filed under the name Pongo abelii (Sumatran orangutan). Its description in RNAcentral is "retained intron". The record is from RNAcentral. Lineage: Eukaryota; Metazoa; Chordata; Mammalia; Primates; Hominidae.
GACUUAACGCGCCCCCGCCGGGCACCCGGCCUCAGCAGCCGCCUGUCGCCGCGGGAGCAGCCGCUAUCUCUGUGUGUCCGCGUGUGCGCCCGGUCCCCGCCCGCCGCACCAUGGAGGGCUACCACAAGCCUGACCAGCAGAAGCUGCAGGCCCUGAAGGACACGGCCAACCGCCUGCGCAUCAGCUCCAUCCAGGCCACCACGGCGGCGGGCUCUGGCCACCCCACGUCAUGCUGCAGCGCCGCAGAGAUCAUGGCUGUCCUCUUUUUCCACACCAUGCGCUACAAGUCCCAGGACCCCCGGAACCCGCACAAUGACCGCUUUGUGCUCUCCAAGGUAAGAGCCCAGCUGCCCACUGCCAGCCACACCUUGCCUGGGACUAGGGUCACACAGGCCCUGGAAUGGUGAGUGGUCUUUGAGGAGGCCGGGCUGGGCCCACCUUUCCCAGGUGCUUUCUCCCUGCUCGUCCCGGCCUCUCCCUCAGUGUCCUGCUCUGUGCUGACCCAGCUGGCUAAGGACUACAGGAGUGAAUUGAUGGGUUGCUCUGCCAUGGAACCCAGGUACAU